AUGUGGUGUUGGCAACACGAGUGAGGCGUCGGGAAGUCAAGCCGGUGCGGACGCUCGCCAAAAGGGAAAGCUCUAAGCUUUAAAGUAAGUCAAUCAAAUGGAUGGUGAUCAACGCAAGGCUUCGGAACCGAACACAAUCAAGAAGUUGUUCUUCACUUUUGUCUUAAAUAUUCGCUAGUGAUAAUUUUGUAAUGAAAGGAAUACUUAUGUAUCCUUGUUGUGUUGUGAUGGUUUUCAAACACUUAUGUUCUAAACUAGAAUUAAAAUCUGCGUUUAUUUU
RNAcentral lists this long non-coding RNA (280 nucleotides) under Helianthus annuus (common sunflower). Its description in RNAcentral is "sRNA HanXRQr2_Chr09g0385891". Lineage: Eukaryota; Viridiplantae; Streptophyta; Magnoliopsida; Asterales; Asteraceae. The record is from RNAcentral.